Molecule: long non-coding RNA, 1612 nt
Filed under: Musa acuminata (dwarf banana)
Lineage: Eukaryota; Viridiplantae; Streptophyta; Magnoliopsida; Zingiberales; Musaceae
Description: long non-coding RNA (MACU_LNC008496)
Source: RNAcentral
CUUUCCCCUUGCUUGAUUUCUAUUAUCUCUAUCAUCAAAGUGGAAAUAUGCAUCCAAACUAGUUCACCUUGCUUAAAAGCGAGUAAUUGAGUCUAGUCCGGGCGACAGCAUUGGGAGCAGUAGUAAGGUUAUCGCUAGCACUAGUUUAUUUCUUAAGUGGAUCAAAAUACAGAAUGAAGUAAGGUCCCAGGGAUUCAACAGGAUAUAAGUCAUUCCACUCAAUAGUAGCUGCAGACCUAAGUCCAGAGGAGGCCCAACCCUCACCAAAGGCUUAGCUGGCUAACAAACAGAGCCUUACCUAUACGUUGCAUUCUGAGCACCCAACACCCGGACUUGUAGCUAUCUCUAACUUGCCCGCUGACCCACUUGCCUAGCGCUCCGACCUCCCAGUAGUAGUGCGCUUAUUCGCUUAGAAAGGUCUCCUUAUGAACUUAGCCCGGUAUCCUUACUUUCGAGGUUUUCUCUUUGUGCCUAUAGGUUGAUUCUGGUGAAAGGCCAGCAGUAUAGGGUUUCAAGCAAAGGUAGCUAGACUUAAGAGAAGCAGUGCCAGGCUGGUAGUUGUGUAGUUCAUAUAGGCUGUUACCAAUAGCUCCUUUAUUAUUAGUAUAGGAAUAGUUCCUUUCUCAUAUUUGUAGGGGAAUCAGACUUCACUACGGGAUAGGUAGGGCUCAUAGGCACCAGUGCAUUCCCUUUUUCUUGUUUCAAUUGCUAGAUGCGCUAUCCUCUAUCCUUGAGUCGAAGAGUGAAAGGCAUUAGUUGCAGGAGCUGAGGAACGAGAGACAGGAACUCUAUAGACAAAUACAGAUGUUAGAUCAGUAGCGCUAGACUUCAAGCAAGGGUGGUGAGUAGAUAAGUAAUAAGUAAAGACAUACAAAUAGGCAGUCAGGACAGGCAGGCUAGCAAUUUCACUAUAGCGUUGAGGGCUGUGAGGGAAGUCUAAGUUAUGAGUUCAGAUUUGAGAAGCAUUAGUGCAUUAGUGACAGUACCAUAUGCCCUGGUCCAUUCCUUUUAUUAUAGUAGUUCGGUCCUUAUUGGUAGGGUCGUUGUGUAUUCGGAGAAGCACUAGAUGUUACUGAAUACCCAAACAACUGAUCGCUAGUUCAAGAGAAAAGCAAUAGACUUAUUUCGCCUUGGUUUCGCUAAUCAACUAUAAGAGAAUACUCGCUAAUCUAAUAUAAGAGAACUGAAAAACGGAAUCGAAUUCCAAAAGAGAGAAUGCAAACAAGUGGAUAAGGUCUGAGAUACCAUAACGUGAAGCAAGGCUCUUAGGCAGUAGAGCAAGGUUUUAGUGAAGUAGUAGCAGAGCCAAAAGAUAGAUCUAGGUUUAAAGCGAAGUAAGUUGGUGGGCAUUAUCAGACUUAUAGUAGUAGUAAGAGGCUAGCACAUCUAGGUCUUAUAAGUAGUAAGCAUCAGAGUGGAACCCCCCUAAACUGUAAAAGAAUGAAUACAAGAAAUAGGGAACCCUGAUAUCGGAAUGAAACCGAUGCUACAAAGAAUGCAACACUGCCCACACACCCCAAAGAGAUUGAGCUUGAUGUUGAUAUCGGAUCCUAUGCGCUAUUAUUAGUACGCGGGGGAACGAACUAGCCUGCCAUUAACGCCUUCAAGUCGG